GUAAGGAAUAUUGGACAAUGGACGCAAGUCUGAUCCAGCCAUGCCGCGUGAAGGAUUAAGGUCCUCUGGAUUGUAAACUUCUUUUAUAAGGGACGAAAAAAGGCUUUUCUAAGUCGUCUGACGGUACCUUAUGAAUAAGCACCGGCUAACUCCGUGCCAGCAGCCGCGGUAAUACGGAGGGUGCAAGCGUUAUCCGGAUUCACUGGGUUUAAAGGGUGCGUAGGCGGGCAGGUAAGUCAGUGGUGAAAUCCUAGAGCUUAACUCUAGAACUGCCAUUGAUACUAUCUGUCUUGAAUAUUGUGGAGGUAAGCGGAAUAUGUCAUGUAGCGGUGAAAUGCUUAGAUAUGACAUAGAACACCUAUUGCGAAGGCAGCUUACUACGCAUAUAUUGACGCUGAGGCACGAAAGCGGGGGGAUCAAACAGGAUUAGAUACCCGAGUAGUCC
Molecule: ribosomal RNA, 445 nt
Filed under: uncultured bacterium
Lineage: Bacteria
Description: partial 16S ribosomal RNA
Rfam family: Bacterial small subunit ribosomal RNA
Source: RNAcentral